RNAcentral lists this transfer RNA (75 nucleotides) under Bathothauma lyromma. RNAcentral's name for it is "tRNA-Glu". Lineage: Eukaryota; Metazoa; Mollusca; Cephalopoda; Oegopsida; Cranchiidae. The record is from RNAcentral.
GUUCUUAUAGUGUAGCUGAGCACAUUAGAUUUUCAAUCUUUUAGGGCAUUAAUUAUUAAAAUAGUGUUAAGAAUA